RNAcentral lists this ribosomal RNA (254 nucleotides) under uncultured bacterium. RNAcentral's name for it is "partial 16S ribosomal RNA". It matches the Rfam family "Bacterial small subunit ribosomal RNA", at positions 524 to 776 of the family's 1533-position model. The record is from RNAcentral.
CACAGAGGUGCCAAGCGUUAGGCGGAAUCACUGGGCUUAAAGCGCGUGUAGGCGGGUCGUUAAGUGUCCGAGUGAAACCCCACGGCUCAACCGUGGAACUGCCGGGCAUACUGGCGAUCUUGAGGCAUUCAGGGGCGAGCGGAACAAAUGGUGGAGCGGUGAAAUGCGUAGAUAUCGCCUGGAACGCCGACGGUGAAAACAGCUCGCUGGGGGUGUGCUGACGCUGAGACACGAAAGCCAGGGGAGCGAACGGG